CAGGGAGUGGCUUAAUAGAAACGCGUUUCUCUUACACUGAAAAGAUACCCGUGCAAGUCGGGUCUCCCUGA
RNAcentral lists this transfer RNA (71 nucleotides) under Bathophilus sp. CBM:ZF:14209. RNAcentral describes it as "tRNA-Val". It matches the Rfam family "tRNA". Rfam says of the family: Transfer RNA (tRNA) molecules are approximately 80 nucleotides in length. Their secondary structure includes four short double-helical elements and three loops (D, anti-codon, and T loops). Lineage: Eukaryota; Metazoa; Chordata; Actinopteri; Stomiiformes; Stomiidae. The record is from RNAcentral. RNAcentral also lists the same sequence under 2 other names.